UACAGGGGGUGCAAACGUUGCUCGGAAUCAUUGGGCGUAAAGCGCACGUAGGCGGUUCGUUAUGUCGGAUGUGAAAGCCCUUGGCUUAACCGAGGAAGUGCAUCCGAAACUGGCGAGCUAGAGUACGAAAGAGGAUCGCGGAAUUCCCGGUGUAGAGGUGAAAUUCGUAGAUAUCGGGAGGAACACCGGUGGCGAAGGCAGGUCUCUGGGCUGACACUGACGCUCAUGCACGAAAGCGUGGGGAGCAAACAGGAUUAGAU
This 260-nucleotide ribosomal RNA is filed under the name uncultured bacterium. Its description in RNAcentral is "partial 16S ribosomal RNA". It matches the Rfam family "Bacterial small subunit ribosomal RNA", at positions 524 to 783 of the family's 1533-position model. The record is from RNAcentral.